RNAcentral lists this ribosomal RNA (496 nucleotides) under uncultured soil bacterium. RNAcentral describes it as "bacterial SSU rRNA". It matches the Rfam family "Bacterial small subunit ribosomal RNA", at positions 26 to 515 of the family's 1533-position model. The record is from RNAcentral.
AGAUUGAACGCUGGCGGCGUGCUUAACACAUGCAAGUCGAGCGGUAACAGGCGUAGCAAUACGUGCUGACGAGCGGCGAACGGGUGCGUAAUACAUGGGAAUCUGCCUUUUAGUGGGGGAAUAACCCGGCGAAAGCCGGGCUAAUGCCGCAUAAGAUCUUCGGAUGAAAGCGGGGGAUCGUAAGACCUCGCGCUGAUAGAUGAGCCCAUGCCGGAUUAGCUAGUUGGUGAGGUAACGGCUCACCAAGGCGACGAUCCGUAGCUGGUCUGAGAGGACGGCCAGCCACACUGGGACUGAGACACGGCCCAGACUCCUACGGGAGGCAGCAGUGGGGAAUAUUGGACAAUGGGGGAAACCCUGAUCCAGCGACGCCGCGUGUGUGAAGAAGGCCUGCGGGUUGUAAAGCACUUUCGGUGGAACGAAAUAUGCCGGGCUAAUAUCCCGGUAGGCUGACGUUACUCAAUGAAGAAGCACCGGCUAACUCUGUGUCAGCACG